This 301-nucleotide ribosomal RNA is filed under the name uncultured bacterium. Its description in RNAcentral is "partial 16S ribosomal RNA". It matches the Rfam family "Bacterial small subunit ribosomal RNA", at positions 509 to 807 of the family's 1533-position model. The record is from RNAcentral.
CAGCCGCCGCGGUAAUACAGAGGGUGCGAGCGUUAAUCGGAUUUACUGGGCGUAAAGCGUGCGUAGGCGGCUUUUCAAGUCGGAUGUGAAAUCCCUGAGCUUAACUUAGGAAUUGCAUUCGAUACUGGGAAGCUAGAGUAUGGGAGAGGAUGGUAGAAUUCCAGGUGUAGCGGUGAAAUGCGUAGAGAUCUGGAGGAAUACCGAUGGCGAAGGCAGCCAUCUGGCCUAAUACUGACGCUGAGGUACGAAAGCAUGGGGAGCAAACAGGAUUAGAUACCCGGGUAGUCCCUGUCUCUUAUAC